GGCCUCGAUGCGGUGCAGCUCCUUGUGGAAGUCCAUACCUGCCUGCUGCGCCUGGAUGAGCUUGCUGUGCACUGCGUCAGCAGACUCGAUCAGCGUCCGGCUGGUCUGGAUCAUCGUCUCAUAGGCAGUGAGGACCUUGCGCAGCAGGUCGGGGAUAGGGCCCUGUGCCUCCAUGGGGGGGUACUGCUCAGCCAGGUUGAGGGUGACGCUGGGCGCACUGUCACUGUGCAGCAGCCACGCAGCCACCGUCAGGAUGCACUGCUUCAUGUUGGCGGCGGGCG
RNAcentral lists this long non-coding RNA (281 nucleotides) under Gallus gallus (chicken). The record is from RNAcentral. Lineage: Eukaryota; Metazoa; Chordata; Aves; Galliformes; Phasianidae.